This 497-nucleotide ribosomal RNA is filed under the name uncultured bacterium. Its description in RNAcentral is "partial 16S ribosomal RNA". It matches the Rfam family "Bacterial small subunit ribosomal RNA", at positions 28 to 507 of the family's 1533-position model. The record is from RNAcentral.
GACGAACGCUGGCGGCGUGCCUAAUACAUGCAAGUUGAGCGCUGAAGGUUGGUACUUGUACCAACUGGAUGAGCAGCGAACGGGUGAGUAACGCGUGGGGAAUCUGCCUUUGAGCGGGGGACAACAUUUGGAAACGAAUGCUAAUACCGCAUAAAAACUUUAAACACAAGUUUUAAGUUUGAAAGAUGCAAUUGCAUCACUCAAAGAUGAUCCCGCGUUGUAUUAGCUAGUUGGUGAGGUAAAGGCUCACCAAGGCGAUGAUACAUAGCCGACCUGAGAGGGGGGUCGGCCCCAUUUGGACGGAGACACGGCCCAAACUCCUACGGGAGGCAGCAGUAGGGAAUCUUCGGCAAUGGACGGAAGUCUGACCGAGCAACGCCGCGUGAGUGAAGAAGGUUUUCGGGUCGUAAAACUCUGUUGGUAGGGAAGAACGUUGGUGAGAGUGGAAAGCUCAUCAAGUGACGGUAACUACCCAGAAAGGGACGGCUAACUACGUG